This 352-nucleotide transfer-messenger RNA is filed under the name Phycisphaerae bacterium. It matches the Rfam family "transfer-messenger RNA". Rfam says of the family: Bacterial tmRNA, also known as 10Sa RNA or SsrA, is named for its dual tRNA and mRNA-like properties. Its role is to liberate the mRNA from a stalled ribosome. The record is from RNAcentral. Lineage: Bacteria; Pseudomonadati; Planctomycetota; Phycisphaerae.
GGGGCCGAAGUGGUUUCGACCGGGCAGGGAAAGUCUGAUCUGGCGCGUCGAGGAGCAUGCCGGCCUCGUAAAAAGCAUGCACACAAACAGUUGCCAACAGCAACUACGCUCUCGCGGCCUAAUUUAGGUUGCGCGAUCCCCGCCCGAGGCCUCGUGAGGCGGGGAUCGAAAACACGAGGCUGGCCCGCGUGCGGCGCACCCAGGAGCGCGGGCGAGACCUGAUUGGGGGCUGGUCCCGUCCGCACGUUGCCGGUGGCGGACGAACGGGACGAGAACAACGCACCGGACACACGCGUAGAUGGGUCAGGCGGACUGCUCCGGCACGGGGGUUCGAUUCCCCCCGGCUCCAUUC